UACAGAGGUCUCAAGCGUUGUUCGGAUUCAUUGGGCGUAAAGGGCGCGUAGGCUGCGGGGCAAGUCGGGUGUGAAAUCUCAGAGCUCAACUCUGAAACUGCACUCGAUACUGUCGUGCUUGAGGACUGGAGAGGAGACUGGAAUUUACGGUGUAGCGGUGAAAUGCGUAGAUAUCGUAAGGAAGACCAGUGGCGAAGGCGGGUCUCUGGACAGUUCCUGACGCUGAGGCACGAAGGUCAGGGGAGCAAACGGG
This 253-nucleotide ribosomal RNA is filed under the name uncultured bacterium. RNAcentral's name for it is "partial 16S ribosomal RNA". It matches the Rfam family "Bacterial small subunit ribosomal RNA", at positions 524 to 776 of the family's 1533-position model. The record is from RNAcentral.